GAGUUUCUUUGGAACAAGGAGCAACAUUUAAUAUCCGUGAGAAGACAGCUGAUGGAAAAUGCAUGGUUAGCGGUCUUGAGGAACAGAAUCACAUAUAAAUAAUGAAAGACGUGCCAUGGUCCGGAUACUUGUGUCCCACUUAAUUAAGCGCUUUGGAGAGAAUCCAUCUUCAGGUGCAAAGGCUAUGCUGGCAUCAUCAAUUGUGGAUCAGUUUCCAUGCCUGAGGGACUGUCAAGGCACAGGCUAUGACGCAUGGUUCACCCCAGGGAGAGGGCAUAAACCCGCAACAGGCUUUCUGGAAGAGCAUCUCCGCAGUGUCUGAAAAAGGCUCCACUCUGGCAGACGAGUAAAUCUAACAUCCCAAGUGCCACAAGACACCCGAGUCAUUUUGCCAGAACCAACUAGAACUCCAGAGCGGGCCAUCCAAUUGACGGAGUGACUGAAAAAUAACAUCUGGCCACAGUCCCAGGUUGGCCAACACAUGUUGGAGACUGCCAUCCAUAGGGCACAGUGGAUCCGAGCAAAUGGGACUACAUCAAUGCUAGACAUUAUCACAGAGUUUCCACGCUUAAUGGACACUCACAGGCAUGGUGAGCUAGAAUCUUACAAAAUUACUUGCGUGUUGUGGUGCUGGGAUUGUUGUUCGAUGUCAACUUUGUGCUAAAGUUUGGGAGUUCAUCUAGACUACCGUCUUUCAGAUACCAGGACAUGAAUCAAACACUGUCAAAUUAAUGAGUGCUCAGAUUGCUAGUUGAUAGUUCAAUGUAUGAAGUUUGAGAAAUUGUGACUAUUUUGUCCGUUUAAUGAUGUAAUAAGUGA
This is a long non-coding RNA of Sander lucioperca (pikeperch), 819 nucleotides long. RefSeq lists it as uncharacterized. The record is from RefSeq and is a predicted model, not a curated record. The transcript has 5 exons. Lineage: Eukaryota; Metazoa; Chordata; Actinopteri; Perciformes; Percidae.